UAACGCGUGGGCAACCUGCCUCAUACAGGGGGAUAGCAUCGGGAAACUGGUGGUAAAACCGCAUAAGCGCACGAAGACGCAUGUAUCCGUGUGAAAAGGAGAAAUCUGGUAUGAGAUGGACCCGCGUCUGAUUAGCUAGUUGGAGUGGUAAAAGCACACCAAGGCGACGAUCAGUAGCCGGCCUGAGAGGGUGGACGGCCACAUUGGGACUGAGACACGGCCCAGACUCCUACGGAAGGCAGCAG
RNAcentral lists this ribosomal RNA (245 nucleotides) under uncultured bacterium. RNAcentral's name for it is "partial 16S ribosomal RNA". It matches the Rfam family "Bacterial small subunit ribosomal RNA", at positions 111 to 354 of the family's 1533-position model. The record is from RNAcentral.